RNAcentral lists this ribosomal RNA (334 nucleotides) under uncultured bacterium. RNAcentral's name for it is "bacterial SSU rRNA". It matches the Rfam family "Bacterial small subunit ribosomal RNA", at positions 568 to 898 of the family's 1533-position model. The record is from RNAcentral.
CGUGUAGGCGGUCUUUUAAGUCUGAUGUGAAAGCCCUGGGCUCAACCUGGGAAGUGCAUUGGAAACUGGAAGACUUGAGUACGGGAGAGGGUAGUGGAAUUCCCAGUGUAGGAGUGAAAUCCGUAGAUAUUGGGAGGAACACCGGUGGCGAAGGCGGCUACCUGGACCGAUACUGACGCUGAGACGCGAAAGCGUGGGGAGCAAACAGGAUUAGAUACCCUGGUAGUCCACGACCGUAAACGAUGAGUACUAGGUGUCGCGGGUAUUGACCCCUGCCGGUGCCGCAGCUAACGCAUUAAGUACUCCGCCUGGGAAGUACGGUCGCAAGACUAAA